GAUGAAGAACGCAGCGAAAUGCGAUAAGUAAUGUGAAUUGCAGAAUUCCGUGAAUCAUCGAAUCUUUGAACGCACAUUGCGCCCUCUGGUAUUCCGGAGGGCAUGCCUGUCCGAGCGUCAUUGCUGCCCUCCAGCCCGGCUGGUGUGUUGGGCCCCGUCCCCCUUCCCGGGGGGACGGGCCCGAAAGGCAGCGGCGGCACCGCGUCCGGUCCUCGAGCGUAUGGGGCUUUGUCACCCGCUCUUGUAGGCCCGGCCGGCGCCAGCCGACCCCCUCAAUCUAUUUUUCAGGUUGACCUCGGAUCAGGUAGGGAUACCCGCUGAACUUAAGCAUAUCAAUAAGCGGAGGA
This 347-nucleotide unclassified non-coding RNA is filed under the name soil metagenome. RNAcentral describes it as "partial contains 5.8S ribosomal RNA, internal transcribed spacer 2, and large subunit ribosomal RNA". The stretch from base 1 to 120 matches the Rfam family "5.8S ribosomal RNA", at positions 35 to 154 of the family's 154-position model. The record is from RNAcentral.